CUCCCCCCUCCUCGAAGACUCCCAUGAGUGGUACUUAUUCAAACCUAAGUUCGGGCGGAGUGAGAUGUCACAAGAACGGGUGAUACAGUCGCUCCUUUUAUGAGCUCAGAUCGGCAAUCUCGGCCAAUAUGGCCUUCCUCCUUACACCUGAAGCAUCUCUGGAUUAAAUCCCUGUGUUGAAGAAAGAUCUUCCUACCCCGUACUUGAACGAAGUCAGGGAUCGACGUGAGGGGUUUGAUCUCAACUUGGACUCUCUUGUGGAUUUUGGAUCAAAAGCAACGUCAGAUCGUCCAAACGGAAUAGGGAAAAGGCACAUUGAAUUGCUAACUAGACUGCUCGUAACAUGCCAGGAACACCUUUUUCCAGACAUUAUGUUACCUGGGUCACUGAUUAUGCAUAAGAUUUGGAUGGAAUUAACUAAACACAACUCAAACUCAUUUUAAUUCAGUAACGAGCGAGGAAUUGAUUCAAUCGGUCUUAUAUUUGGUAGCUCAAGGUUAACCAGGCUGACUCGCAAAGCGCCCUGUGAAGUGCAGAGCUUAAAACACAUUUCGUGUAGAGUAGAAAGCCUAUUGAAAUAUUUAAAAGAACUUGGGACGAGAGAAUCAACAUCU
Molecule: long non-coding RNA, 614 nt
Organism: Tigriopus californicus
Lineage: Eukaryota; Metazoa; Arthropoda; Copepoda; Harpacticoida; Harpacticidae
Exons: 3
Source: RefSeq, a predicted model, not a curated record